ACCCAAAAGUCAGACCCACGUGUGCACCAAAUAAUUUUUUUCAUAUUGGUUACUUUAUUCAAUUAGCGUGAAUUCAGUUAGCGCGACCGCGUUCAUCCACCUAAUUCUUGCGCUAAAUGGGGCUCUACUGUACCUUAUUUUGCGGCGUAUAAAGCACACUUUUUAACUCAGAAAAAAUUUACUCCUGCAUGGUAUACACCGAAGGUACACAUUUUGAGUGAUUUAAAUAGUAAAUAAUGUGAUGCAAUGGAAAAGGAAAGUGUGAAUAAGCAGAAGAUGGGAGGAGGACAUGUGAAGUGAUAAAACUGUACAGGUCACAGGAAGUAGAAGACAUGCCACGUGUGAUGCGGCGUAAACACAAAACACAACACCGCCGCGGUGCACCAGUCACCAGUGUGCCGGGUGCCUUGGGGGUGAUGGUUAAGCGGCUAUUACACAAGUACAGUUUUGGUGGAGCAGGGUGCUGCCUGACCUGACUGCUUGGCAACCAUGGGGUGGAGUUGGGCGGAUUAGUAUGGGGGUAUUUCUGCUGUGCAGCAGCCCAGUCAGCUGAUGUUUUCUGUGAUACAUGUUUGAAAGAACGGAUAUCUGUGGAUGACUGAAGUGUUUAUUGUAAAAGCAGUUUUGUUUCUCAUUGUAAAAAUAACUAUAUUAAACCAAUAUGAUUGACAAACUAAUCAACAUCUAUUUCUUAUUGAAAUUAGGUAUAUGGUCCCUGAAAGUCAAGAUCAAGACCAAUUGCUUGCCCAUCGAACGUAGCAUCCCUGUGUGAUUAUUUCCCUCAGUAGCUCGGUGAAAGUUACCGCCUGCACACAGCGCAGUGAGUUAAUCUACAAACCAACCCUGUUGUUUACCAUUUCAAAGUCACAGCUACUCAGGGUAAGAGCACAGUAACUCGUCAAAGCAACAUAUGCUAUAACAGUAAUAAUUGUGAGUAAGGUGGUCAUAUGUAAUACUGCAUAUACAUUAAGUUCAGGGAUUUAUUUAUUUUUUAUUUUUUUAUUUUAUUUAUUUAUUUUUUUAUUUUUUUAUUAUUUUUUUUUUCUAUACCUUGUCAAAUUAUUGGUGCGUCAUAUGGCGGGAAAUACAUCCUAUUUAGUGUUUUCGUUAGUUGUCUUUUCAUCAUGGCUCACACCACAGUAAUAGAACAACAUACAGUAAAAGAUUGGUGUACGUGUGUGAGUGAGGGAGGUGUGGGUAGGCUAUUCUUCUGUAGCACUUUUGUAUUUAUAUUUAGUGUUUUUGUUCGUCAUUUUUAUAUUCAUCAUAACUCAUACCACUUUGAGGGAACAACACACAAGAAAAGAUUGGCAUUCAUGUGUGGGUGAAGUAGGUACGUUAGGUUAAUCUUGUCUGUCACUCAUAUUUAUUUAUAUUUAACAUUUAUAUAUUUUUUUAUAUUUAUCAUUGUUCACACCACAUUAAGGGAAGGUGUGGUUAGGUUAAUCUUGUAUGUCACUCUUUUAUAAUUAUGUGUAGUGUUUGGGUUGCUGUUUUUUUUCUUGUUACUAUAUCUUGCACCACAUUGGGGGAACAAAAUGCAGUGUAGUUUUGUUGAAUCUCAUCUGUAACCCUUCUAUCCUUGUGUUCUAGUCAGUGGUUCAUCCUCUACACCACACAGAGGAAUAGCAAACACUUUUAAUGGGUGAUAUUCAUGCAAGGGAAGGAGUAGGUGGGAUUUUGUUAAGUCUGAUUUGUCACUCUUUAAUAGCUAUGUUCUAGUCAGUGGGUCAUCCUUUACACCACACAGAGGAGCAGCAUACACUCAUUGGAAGGGUAGGAGGAGGUGCAGUUUUGUUAAGUCUGAUUUGUCACUCUCUAGUCUUAUGUUCUAGUCAGUGGGUCAUCCUUUACACCACACAGAGGAGCAGCAUACACUCAUUGGAAGGGUAGGAGGAGGUGUGGUUCUCAAAUCUCAUCUAUCACAUUUCUUUAGUUAUGUUCCAGUGUUAACUCAUCAUUUUAGGUUGGCAUUCUUGGUUUGCCAAUAGAGGAAAGAAAGAUAUAUCCAAAGAAAUUCUGGGAAAUAGGGUAAAGAGAAAUAGAAAUUCAGCGAUGGCAAAAACAGUUGACGUAGGUGUUGUCUCACUCACUAGCGUAGAUGUAUCUGAGGCCAAAGACAUAUGGAGUAGGGUAUCUGGUUCCUUUCUCUGCUGCUUCAUCCUCCCCAGCUAUGGUUAGGCUUGGUUAAGUUAGCCAUGGUUAACCAGGUACACAUUGAGGCUGGGUGAGUCUAGGGGCUGGACCCAGAAAAACCUGUGUGUGUGUGUGUGUGUGUGUGUGUGUGUGUGUGUUAACCCGGUAGCAGCGACGGGCCAAAUUUGUGGCUUUACCAUGUAGCAGCGACGGGCCAAAUUUGUGCCAUGAUUUAAACCCCACAAAAUAGAUGAUACAUAAACUGAUCAGAAAUGCUUUGAUAUAUAUUAUGAAAUGGUUUGUGUGAGUGAUGAUUUUUUCUCAUUUUCUCGCUUAGAGGGACCAUUAAGUAACAUGAUUCCCGCUGCUAUCGGGUUAAACUCGACUUACAAGCAUCAUAGUCAGACAUGCUGCCACACACCACAUGAAGUGACAGGAAAUGAUAACAAAUUAAUAAUCUGUAUGUUGGUACAGCGUAAAGGUCUGCUCUUAUUGAUUCUUUCUCUUGUAUUGAGCUUCAGACACCCUAAAAGAGAUGCUGAUAAACUUCUUAAUGUCAGUCUGCGAGAAAAAAAAUCAUUAAUAAUCACAACAAUGGCACCAGUAUAGUAGAGUGAUACAUAACCCACCACUUUGUCUGCUCUGAUCGGAUAAUAUUUAAGUGGGUGGUAAUUUUGUAGGAGUAAGUGUGAUCUGUCGGCUCCUACUUGUUGCCCUUGUGUAGUGAGAGGAAUCAUCACACGAACAUGUCGGUGCAGUGUAAAGGUCUGUUCUUAUUGAUUCUUUCACUUAUUUUGAGCUUAAGACACCCUAAAAGAGAUGCUGAUAGACUUCUUAAUGUCAGUAUUCUUAAAACUACUAAAUACUUUACAGGCGAGAGAAAAAAUCAAAACAGUGUAGCAAAAAGACAAAAAAGAUAACCCAUGUGUAAUCUGAAUGUUUCUAUGCAACGGAAACACUGACAGACCAAGUCCUGUUGAGUGAUGCUGUUGUUAGAAAUGAGAAAUAAAAAUCAAUUGUUAAAUCAAAGAAAUAGGGAUGAGCUAGUGUAUUCAGGCAGCCACUGAUGUGUCUUAGAAGGGAGUGGUGAAUGAGAGGAAGGAUUUUGGAGCAUUCAGGCACUCAAUAAUAUGUCUUAAAAGGAAAUAGAUGAAGGAAAGGGAGUUUUGUAUAAUCAGACAGUCAAUUAUAUGUCUUGACUGCAUAUUUCCUGCAAGACAUCACCAAACUACAGAAAUGGAACAAAAAGUGGGUGCUGCAAUUUGAUGAACCAAAAUGUAAAGUACUGCACUUUGGGAGGGGAUAUCCAGCAUACCAAUACCACAUGGGAAACACUCCACUAUCCACCACAGAGGCAGAGAAAGACCUGGGACUAUAUAUUACCUGAAUACCAGUGAAACCCAAAUCUGUUCCAAUCACAGCGGACGAGUUAAAGGAAAUGAACAAUGGAAAGAGUCAAAUUAGUGAUGUGUAGUAGGAGGGACUGGGUGAAGUAAAGAUGUAGUUUUGGGCAUUCAAGCUGUUAGUGGUGUGUACGUGUGUUAGAGGGGAAUGGGCAAAGGAAAGGGGAGGAGCUUGGGUAUUCAGGCAGCCAAUCAUGUGCCACAGAAGGAAAGGGGGAGGAGUUAGAGCAUUCAGGCAGCCAAUCGUGUGCCUCAGAAGGAAAGGGGGAGAAGUUUAGUUAUGCAGCAGCCAAUCAUGUGCCUCAGAAACGCAUGAAUACCAGAAGGAGGCGGAGCUUACUUACCAAGCUCGUAUGAACAGAAUGAGUUUCAUGUUUUGUUAAGUUAACCUUUUGAAAAGAACCAAAGAAAUUAAGCAAAUUGUGAUAAUGCUAGUCAGAAACUUUUCCUAAUUAGUAUAAAAUUUCUAUUGUAGUUUAUUCGUGUGUUACCAAGUAGAAAGGAUGGGACGUUGACUUAUUAUUUUCACUAAUUGUUGAUGUCACUUUUCAUCUUCUUCUUCUCUUAAUUUCUUCUUCUUUAUUUUCUUCUUCUUCCCCCUCUUCUUCUUCAUUUUCUUCUUCUCUUUCGAUCUUCUCCUUUUUCUUCUUCUUCUUCUUCAUUUUCUUCUUCUUCUUCUUCAUUUUCUUCUUCUUCUUCUCUUUCGAUCUUCUCCUUUUUCUUCUUCUUCUUCUUCAUUUUCUUCUUCUU
Molecule: long non-coding RNA, 4289 nt
Organism: Eriocheir sinensis (Chinese mitten crab)
Lineage: Eukaryota; Metazoa; Arthropoda; Malacostraca; Decapoda; Varunidae
Exons: 3
Source: RefSeq, a predicted model, not a curated record